This 3377-nucleotide small RNA is filed under the name Pongo abelii (Sumatran orangutan). RNAcentral describes it as "retained intron". The record is from RNAcentral. Lineage: Eukaryota; Metazoa; Chordata; Mammalia; Primates; Hominidae.
AGGUGCAGCGGGUCUCGCCGUGUCCCCAGCCUGCUGCGGGCGCGGGAACUCCGGGCAGACCGGCAGAGGGGCGCCCCGGCCUCUGCGUCUCAGCCCGCCCCGGGGGUGCGGUGUUUGCGGCCAGGCUUUCAGCGCGGAAAAAGAUUGGAGGGUCCUAGUCACCCCAAAGACGACAGGCAUUAGCAGAGCCGCGGGCGGCGGGUGCAUGGAACCAGAAUGUGCUGCGCGCCCGCCUGGAGCGCUCGGAGCCCGGAGGCCUGCCCGGGAGGGGAAAACGCGGCGGGGCGGCCAUGGGCCCCGGGGUCCUGCCCCAGGUUUGCUUCUCAUUUGUGCUCCAUCCAACAAGAGCUCGUAUUCCGUGUGCCAUGAACUGUGUCAAGGGCUCCAAGUGCCAGGGCUGCUAUAACAAAGUACCACAAACUGGGUGGCUCCAAGCAUGUUUACUGUCUCACAGUGCUGAAGAAAUCUACAAGGCCAUGCUCCCUGUGAAAGACCAGAUGAAGAAGCUGUGGUGGAUCAGGGUGGGACCAGUACAAUUCUCAACAUUCACUAUGAAAAAGAAGAGCUGGAAGUCUUCACAAGAUCCCUGUGAAGUUUGCAGGCAUGUGCAGGACAAAGGAAGAGAACUUCAACUCCAAAAUCUCUAUAUCUUUACUCCUGGAAGUCUUUGAAGUUUUGUUGUUCCAGAGCUGUGACCAGACCAAAGAACUGUGAUAUUUUCUUCUCUUAACUAUGCUAGGCUUUUUUUUUUUUUUAAAAAAAAAACUAAAGGAGUUCUCUCCACAGACCUUCUGCUUCUUUCCAGGUCAUAGAACUCUAUAUGUGGGAGUUCGGAUGCCGCUUGGCCGGCAGAGCCAUCGGCAUCACCGCACUCAUGGCCAGAAGCACCGGAGACGAGGGCGGGGCAAAGGAGCCAGCCAGGGGGAGGAAGGCCUGGAAGCCCUGGCCCACGACACACCAUCUCAGCGUGUUCAGUUCAUUCUUGGCACCGAGGAAGAUGAAGAGCAUGUGCCUCAUGAGCUGUUUACAGAGCUGGAUGAGAUCUGUAUGAAAGAGGGAGAAGAUGCUGAGUGGAAGGAAACAGCCAGGUGGCUGAAGUUUGAAGAAGAUGUUGAAGAUGGGGGAGAACGCUGGAGCAAGCCUUAUGUGGCAACCCUUUCAUUGCACAGCCUGUUUGAGCUAAGGAGCUGCCUUAUUAAUGGAACAGUCCUUCUGGAUAUGCGUGCAAAUAGCAUAGAAGAAAUUUCAGACCUCAUCCUGGAUCAGCAAGAACUGUCCAGUGACCUGAAUGACAGCAUGAGGGUUAAAGUGCGGGAAGCCCUUCUCAAAAAGCAUCAUCAUCAGAAUGAAAAGAAGAGAAACAACCUCAUUCCCAUUGUUCGCUCCUUUGCUGAGGUUGGCAAGAAGCAGUCUGAUCCUCAUUCAAUGGAUAAACAUGGUCAAACCGUGUCUCCUCAGUCUGUUCCAACUACAAAUCUUGAAGUAAAAAAUGGAGUGAAUUGUGAACAUAGUCCUGUGGAUUUAAGCAAGGUAGACCUUCAUUUCAUGAAAAAAAUUCCUACUGGGGCUGAGGCCUCCAAUGUCCUGGUUGGAGAGGUGGAUAUUUUGGACCGUCCCAUUGUUGCCUUUGUGAGGCUGUCUCCAGCUGUUCUUCUCUCAGGCCUAACAGAAGUGCCAAUCCCAACAAGAUUUUUGUUUAUCUUAUUGGGUCCAGUAGGGAAAGGUCAGCAGUACCAUGAGAUUGGCAGAUCCAUGGCCACCAUCAUGACAGAUGAGGUAUGUGCAACUUUUGCUUCAGUCUUCCAUCUCAUAAAUAUUUAUUGAAUAUUUACUCUGUGCCAGGCACUAUGCUAGUUAUUGGGGAUAAAAUACUUUCCAUUGCAGUGUCUGCUGGGAAGUAGUUCAGGGUACUUCUCUGAGAGCCCAGUGUGGAAGGACCAAGCUCUAGAGGAUUUUUCUUCCUAUGUUAUCUCUCCUUUUUUGAGUAAUCAAGAAUGCAGAGAAAUCUUUUUCUGGGGAAACUAUUAUUGCCAAGUAGGAUAUAGAGAGAAAUAUAUUAAGGUUGGCUUAACUUUCAAGAGAAGAUGGUUAAAUACAUUCAAGCUAUUUACAUAAAGAAACCUCACUCCUGUUCCACUAAAUGAGACCAGUUUGUAUAAGGUCAUGGGUAUGACCUCAGGCAGUGUAGUGUGAAUGUCUUGACUAGUCUGUACCAAAACAACCAGACAUUUUGACAUUUUGACAUUGAACCCACAGUGCAUACUCUGGUAAGGACUGCACUGCUCGGUAAGCUGCAAAGUAGGGCUUUCAAGGCAUAUGCCUUAGGCGGCAGAGGGAGGUGUGGCCUGUUUUUUAUCAGCUUUCUUUGAUUGAGAGGCUUAAUUCAGGAAGGACCUUCAUUAGUAAUUCCAUCCAGUGUUUCCAACCUUUAAGAUCAAGAAAAUUUCCCUCUCAACCUGGGAAAGCUGAUUAAAAAAAAUUUUUUUUUCAUACAUCUUGCCUUUCCUUCCAUCCUUUGUGGAGAUAACAUAAUUGUACAACUUUAGAUUCAUGUCUUAUCUCUUCUUAUACUAGCAGACAUGUAUUUAGUUCUUUUUGAUGCAUCUCAUUUCCACGUUUGUUUUUUAAAUCCUUUUAUCCUUGUACUUCUCUAAGUGCUAAAGUUUUCUGCAUCUCAGAUCCCCAUGACAGAGAUAAAAAUCAAGAGGUUGUAUUCAUUUUUCACCAUAUCCCUUGGUGAUUGUUUCACGUAAAGUUACUUUUAACUUUCCUGAGGGUUUUUUCUUCUCUGUAGAUUUUUCAUGACGUAGCAUAUAAGGCAAAAGAGCGAGAUGAUCUCCUGGCGGGGAUUGAUGAGUUCCUAGACCAGGUGACGGUGCUCCCUCCAGGAGAGUGGGAUCCCUCCAUUAGAAUUGAGCCACCCAAAAACGUCCCUUCCCAGGUAAUGUAUGCACAUCAGCCAAUGUGGCUAUUGUCACUUACUAACUGCCCACCAUGGACAAAGCAAAGACCAUGUGGGUAUAUGCUAAAUAUAUCAAGAUGCAGCUCUGUUUUGGUGCACAUAGAAUAUCAAAACAAUAAUAAAAAUGAAUCUGGGCUGGGUGUGGUGGCUCAUGCCUGUAAUCCCAGCACUUUGGGACGCCGAGGCAGGUAGAUCACUUGAGAUCAGGAGUUUGAGACCAGCGUGGCCAACAUGGUGAAACCCCAUCUCUACUAAAAAUACAAAAAUUAGCUGGGCGUGGUGGUGGGUGCCUAUAAUCCCAGCUACUUGGGCGGCUGGGGCAGGAGAAUCGCUUGAACCCGGGAGGUGGAGGUUGUAGUAAGCCAAGAUGGUGCCACUGCACUCCAGCUUGGGUGACAGAGCGAGACUCCACCUC